This 69-nucleotide transfer RNA is filed under the name Urocitellus parryii (Arctic ground squirrel). Its description in RNAcentral is "Spermophilus parryii (Arctic ground squirrel) tRNA". It matches the Rfam family "tRNA". Rfam says of the family: Transfer RNA (tRNA) molecules are approximately 80 nucleotides in length. Their secondary structure includes four short double-helical elements and three loops (D, anti-codon, and T loops). RNAcentral also lists the same sequence under 2 other names. The record is from Rfam by way of RNAcentral. Lineage: Eukaryota; Metazoa; Chordata; Mammalia; Rodentia; Sciuridae.
GGGGUUGUGGCUCAGUGGUAGAGUGCUUGCCUACCAAGCGUGAGGCCCUGGGUUUGAUUCUCAGCACCA